Molecule: long non-coding RNA, 4435 nt
Filed under: Sus scrofa (pig)
Lineage: Eukaryota; Metazoa; Chordata; Mammalia; Artiodactyla; Suidae
Description: lncRNA (ENSSSCG00040005325.1)
Source: RNAcentral
AUGAAUUGUAUUAUAUUUAUGGUUGUGCAACGAAGGUGGGGAUUCUGAACUGACCAGUAGCUAGGCUUUGAACUGGUUCUUCUAAAAUGGCUUGAUCAUAUUCAUGGAUGAGAAAUAUGUUUUUGGGUGAACACAGGAGCAUGUCCAGGGGGCCCUGGAGACCCACCCACGGUGGCGUCAUCACACUCACCUCCUUGGCAGUUGGGUGUCUCUCUACACCGUGUCAAGUGGAGAGAACACAGGCGACCCUGUUACACUAGCCUGUAAUUUAGGUAUGAUCUGAAGCUGCCUUUCUUGGCGCCAUGGGGGGCCCAGGAUGGACAAAUCAAUUUUUAACUGUGUGUCAGCACCGACAGCUUUCUGGGAAUAUCUCACAUUAUCACUGGGAACCUUGGAGAAUUUUCUCAGCUUCAGAAGUCUCCCGAUUAUACAAAGAUUCGUCUCCUGGGCCAAACUGCGGGUGUGUAUGCUCCAGAAAAAGAGCAACUGAAGGAAGGCCGUCCUUGCAGAGUUAUGAGGAACUCGUUUCAAAGAUGACUGGUUCCCGUGGUUGUGCCAUCCUCUCUGGGGGCCGGGGGGCGAGUGUCAGAGAGGAGGGAGCCAACCUGCCCCCUGGGACUAGGACAGAUCUGAGUACUGUGCAAACAGAGAAGCUGUGCUUCUAAGCCCCAAAGGAAAGAACUUGGUCCUUCUGCUGCUUGAUGAGAAAGAUCUGAGUUUGACUUUGAAGGGAAGGCAAAAGCUCUGAAUAUACAGGGCUGAUAUUCUAAGACGUAUUAAUUCACCAGAUCCACAAAUACUCACUGAGGAUCCAUCUUGUGCCACUAGGCUCAAGAGACAAGCUCUAAUAAAGCUUAUAAAAGGUUAUUUCAAGACAGAGAUAUCAAGUGGAACUAAGCUUAUAAUGUUUAAUUUCUUUGCAGAAAUUUCACUUAUGCUUUAAAGUCUUAAAAAAAAAGACAUAGGUGGCCUGGCAGUUAAGAAUCUGGUAUUGUUAGUGCUGUGGCACAGGUUUGAUUCCUGGCCCAGGAACUUCCAGAAGCUGAGGGUGUGGCCAAAAAAAAAAAAAAAAAAAAAAAAUGACAUCGUCAACAAGGACCUACUGUAUAGCACGGGCAACUAGACCCAAUAUCUUGUAAUAAUCUAUAAUGGACAAGAGUCUGAAAAAAGAUCUGUAUCACUUUGCUGUACCUAACACCUGAACUUAACACAACAUUGUAAAUCAACUACAUACACGUCCAUUAAAAAUAAAAUAAAAAUAAAAAUAUUUUUAAAUGACAUAGGGUAUAUUUUGUAGACAGAUAUGAUAUGAAUACAGCUGCCCUGUAUGUUUCACUUCCCCUACUUUCCAGUCUGCUGAUUCUCUGGAUUUCUAAGGUAUUUCUGCUUCACUCAUUCUUUACAACCAGCUUUUGUAAUUGCUGUGCCAAUUGCAUAUUCAUAUCCCAUCUCUGAGCUACGUUAGUUUGCUUUCGUUUACUCAGUUCCCAGAGCUGAAUUUAUACAGAUGGUCCAGAAUAAGUGGUUCAGGUGGCUCAUAGAACUCCAUGCUCAGGGGAUGCUGAAUGUUUGAGGUCUGCAUGGGCCAGAAAGAUUUUCAAAGGGACAUGAUUAGUAAUCGUUAGUUUGGCAGAAAUUUUUAAAAUGUAUUCAGAAUUUAAAGUAAGACUUUGUCAUAUGCUAAGGACUGCACUGCAGGGAGGAAAGAAGGGACUCACUAGCCAGUAACUGGGUUAACAUCACGUCUAGUUUCCUCACACGUCAAAAUGAGAGGCUUUCCUAAAGAGACAGAUCAAAAAAAAGAAAAAAAAAAAGUUGCCAAGAUAUAUGUCACCAAAAUACGUAAAGAACUCACAGAACUCAAUACCAGAAAAAAAAAAAAACCCUCAAAAACCUGAUUAAAAAUGGGCAAAGCACCUGAAGAGGCUUUUUUCUAAAGAAGACAUACAGUGGCCAACAGGCACAUGAAAAAGUGCUCACAAUCAUUGAUCAUCAGGGAACUGCAAAUCAAAACCAUAGUGAGAAAUCACCUCACACCUGACAGAAUGAUUGUAAUCAAAAAGACAAUAAAUACCAAUUUUUAGCUAGGGUGUAGAGAAAAGGAAACCCUAUUAUAUUGUUUGUGGGAGUAGAAAUUGGUGCAGCCAUAAUGAAAAAUAGUAUGGAGUUUCCUCAAAAAUUAAAAAUAGAGCUACCAUGUGAUCUAGCAAUUCCACUCCUGGGUAUAUAGCCAAAGAAAAUGAAAACACCAAUUUAAAAAGAUACAUGUACCUCUAUGUUCAUAGCAGCACUAUUUACAAUAGCUAAGAUGUGGAAGCAACCUAAAUGUCCAUUGACAGAGGAAUGGAUAAAGAAGAUGUGGUACAUAUACACUAUGGAAUACUACUCAGCCAUUAAAAAGAAUGAAAUGACACCAUUUGCAGCCACUCAGAUGGACUUAGGUGGCAAUAUGCUUAGUGAAAUAAGUCAGGGAAAACCAAAUUGUGUACAUUUUCAAUCAAAUAUGGAAAAUCUAAAAAAUUAAGGUAAAUGAACCAAUAUAACAAAACAGAGCCAACUAACAGAUACAGUGAACAAACUUGUGGUUACCAGUAAAGAGAAGGGUGGAGGGAGGGCAAAACAGGGGAAGGAGAUUAAGAGGUAUGAACUUCUAGGUAUAAAAUAAAAGGAUGUAAUGUACAGCACAGGGAAUAGAGCCAAUAUUUUAUAACUUUAUAUGGAGUACAAUCUAUAAAAAUAUCAAACUUCUGUGUCUUACACCUCAGACUAACAUAAUAUUACCAAUCAACUAUACUUCCAUAGAAAAAUGGGAGGCUUUCCUUUAGGUACAGAUACAACCUAAGACCCAUUCUGAGAAUUGCCUUGUCACCCACAGGAUAGAAAUUUCUUCAUCAUGCCAUGUAGAAUAGGAAAAACCCUGUGAUACUCAGCAUGCCAGGAGAAAGUGGACUUAAAAACCUGUAAGCAGAUCUCAAAAAGCUUAUUUGUGUGGGUAUUGGUAGUACUCAUUUGAAAGAGAUUUGUUUAUUUAUGUAUUUAUUUAUUUAUUUUUACAGUCACACGUGUGGCAUAUGGAUGUUCCCAGGCUAGGAGUCAUAUGGGAGCUGCAAGCCUAAGCCACAGCCAUAGCCACACCACAUCUGAGCCACAUCUGUGAAUUAUGCUGCAACUUCCAGCAUCACCAGAUCCUAAACCCACUGAGCGAGGCCAGGGAUUGAACCUGCAUCCUAAUGGACAUUAUAUUGGAUUCUUAACCCCCUGAGCCACAACAGGAACUCCUGAAAGAGAUUUUUUAACAAAUAGCAAAGCUAUGUUGAGAUUUCAACUUUAUCAUAUGCAGUGGUUAUUGUGAAGGGCUUAAUUCCUUCAAUGCUAGGCUUUUGGGGGAAAAAUUAUCUAGUUGUGCUUGAUAUUUGGUAUAACCCCCCAAUCAGUCUCCUGCCCUACAAUUUUCUGUGCAUGACCUUUUCAUGCGGCCCUUUGAUAAAAAGAUUUUUGAGUCUUCCUCCAGAAACAAAGUCCACAUCUGCGCUGGACAGAACACAAGGAGCCAGGAAUCAUCCCACAUCAGCUAGCAGAGCAAGCUUGGUAGGGCCAAGACUCAAGGAGACUGGAACAGUCAUAGGAGCACAUGCAUCUCUACUCUGUGUGUUGUGUUCCAAGGUGAAGCAAAGAGGCCUGGAGCCACAGGAUGGGAGAAGGACCUCAACUUCUGGACUUAGGCUUCCUCAGAUGCAGGAUUAGGGAAGCACCAGCCUCCCGCUGCCUUGUGAUCAAGGUACACAUGGACAGAAAGAUGGGAAGGCAGCAUCUUGGGUUAGCCCGGUCUUGAGAGUUCAGGGUUUGUGUUUGGAGAAGGUCUAAUGGUCAGGGGCCUGGUGUUCAGGACUUGUAAGGACAGCUAUGCUAUGUGACCAGAUAGCAGCAGGAUUUGCCACAUAGGCAGGUUACACCUGCUCUCUACUGGCGUGCUUGACAGUCAAGGGUCCAAGCCUGUCAUUGAUAAGAAUGGGUUGCCUUCAAUGCAGAGCCAUAGCUGGAGCCUGUGAACUUCGUAGACAGCCAAGUCCCUCUCUGAGAGGCCAGCUGCAGCUGCAGGGGUCAGUUUGGACAGCCCUUAGUUUUUGAGUAAAAAAAGGUUUGGUCUGCAACAUAGGGAAAAGCAAUGUGCAGUGAAUGAGAAUUUUCCAUGUGUUCAGUACCUCUUGCUCCAUCUGCAUUUGGCAGAAAACCCUUGGGAUAUGACUAAAGUUUUGUCAUGGAGGGAGGAGACGUGGUAUUUGACACUUGCUGGUGUGGAGCUAAAGACACAGAGCUUGUUCCUUCUCCUUCAUGUCAGGUUGUGGAACCAGAUAAUGGUCAUGACAAAGCUUUAUUUUUUUUUGGUCUUUUUAGGGCUGAACCUGUGACAUAUGGAAGUUCCCGGGCUAGGGGU